GGUGUUGACAGCCGAGGGGAAGGCAGGCAGAGAAGGGCCUAGGCGUGGAGGCUGGGGUGGUGAGGGAAUAACCCACAUGUUCAGAAUUUGCAGGGCCUCAAAUGCCAAGCAUUACCGGGCACCUGAUCCCACGGGAGGAAACACCCACGUCUGGCCCAGAUUACAGGCAAGUCCCCAGCUCCUGUCUUCUUCCGGUUUGGGGGAAGCCCCAGCCUGCUGUCUAGAGCAGCAGCCCCAGACUGGGGUUUCUCUCAAGUUCCCACAGCAAAACCCAGGUUCUCUGUGAUGCGUCUAAGACUAAGCAGCCCGAGGGCAGUUAGCCCAUGCUUGCCCUGUUGCUGGGUGGGACAGAAGCCGUCAUCCGAGGCUACUUUUCCCAGGGCUCACUAAGCAUGGCCCUGAUGGAUAGCUUCAUGAAGGAGUCACUACUGCCCCGACUCAACAUGGGGACCCAGAGCAUCCAAGCUCAGCUUCUUUCCACACAGAGUGUCUGGCAGCCCCCUGAAGGAAUGAGUUGCCCAUCACCAGAGAUAUAAUGAAAAUAAGAAUUCUGAGACAAGAUCUUAGAUUCUGGGCUCUCAACCCAAUGACUGGUAUUUUUAUAAGAAGAGAAGGCCACAUGAGGAUAGAGGCAGAGACUGGGGUGAUGCGGCCGCAAGCCAAGGGACACCUGGAGGUACUGGAAGCCGGAGGAGGCAAAGAACCAUCCACUCUGAGAACCUCCAGAGGGAGCAGGGCCCCGCCGACACCUGGAUCUUGGGCUUCCGGCCUCCAGAAUAUCGAGGAAGUAAACUGUUGCUUGAAGCCAUCGAGCUUGUGGGCGUUCAGGAGAGCAGGUUCAGGGGCCUGCCAGGGCUCUGCUGUGCAAUCUAGGGCCCAGCACUCGCCCUCUCUGUGCCUCAGUCUCCUCAAGUAAGAAACUUGCUCACGGUGUCCUCUCUCCCUCCUCCGUGUGAACAACAAAGUGGUUGAAAAGAAUAAAAGGACGAAAUCCCUCUGUGCGUCAG
Mustela lutreola (European mink) is the source of this 1007-nucleotide long non-coding RNA. RefSeq lists it as uncharacterized. The record is from RefSeq and is a predicted model, not a curated record. NCBI's taxonomy places the organism in Eukaryota, Metazoa, Chordata, Mammalia, Carnivora, Mustelidae. The transcript is spliced from 3 exons.